This 445-nucleotide ribosomal RNA is filed under the name uncultured bacterium. RNAcentral's name for it is "bacterial SSU rRNA". It matches the Rfam family "Bacterial small subunit ribosomal RNA", at positions 28 to 490 of the family's 1533-position model. The record is from RNAcentral.
GACGAACGCUGGCGGCGUGCUUAACACAUGCAAGUCGGACGGUUGGCACUGGAAGGUUCGCUGGAAGGUGCUGAUAGUGGCGGACGGGUGAGUAACGCGUGAGGACAUGUCUGCAGGAGGGGGAUAACGUUUGGAAACGGACGCUAAGACCCCGUAAGCCGGGAGGUGAAAGUGGCGAAAGCCAGCCUGUGGAGUGACUCGCGUCCUAUCAGCUAGUUGGCGGGGUGAAGGCCCACCAAGGCGAUGACGGGUAGCCGACCUGAGAGGGUGGCCGGCCACACUGGAACUGAGAUACGGUCCAGACUCCUACGGGAGGCAGCAGUGGGGAAUAUUGGGCAAUGGGCGGAAGCCUGACCCAGCGACGCCGCGUGGGGGAAGGAAGUCUUUCGGGAGUGUAAACCCUUGUUGUACGGGACGAAGGAAGUGACGGUACCGUACGAGGAAG